RNAcentral lists this ribosomal RNA (122 nucleotides) under Archaeoglobus fulgidus. Lineage: Archaea; Methanobacteriati; Methanobacteriota; Archaeoglobi; Archaeoglobales; Archaeoglobaceae. The record is from RNAcentral.
GCCGACGGUCAUAGGGACGGGGGAAACACCCGGACUCAUUCCGAACCCGGAAGUUAAGCCCCGUUCCGUUCCGCGUAGUACUGUGUUCCGAGAGGGCACGGGAAUCGCGGAAACCGUCGGCU